AGUGAACGCUGGCGGUAGGCCUAACACAUGCAAGUCGAACGGCAGCACAGUAAGAGCUUGCUCUUACGGGUGGCGAGUGGCGUACGGGUGAGGAAUACAUCGGAAUCUACUUUUUCGUGGGGGAUAACGUAGGUAAACUUACGCUAAUACCGCAUACGACCUACGGUUGAAAGCAGGGGAUCUUCGGACCUUGCGCGAUUGAAUGAGCCGAUGUCGGAUUAGCUAGUUGGCGGGGUAAAGGCCCACCAAGGCGACGAUCCGUAGCUGGUCUGAGAGGAUGGUCAGCCACACUGGAACUGAGACACGGUCCAGACGACUAAGGGAGGGAGCAGUGGGGAAUAUUGGACAAUGGGCGCAAGCCUGAUCCAGCCAUACCGAGUGGGUGAAGGAGGCCUUCGGGUUGUAAAGCCCUUUUGUUGGGAAAGAAAAGCAGCAGGUUAAUACCCAGCUGUUCUGACGGUACCCAAAGAAGAAGCACCGGCUAACUUCGUG
Molecule: ribosomal RNA, 492 nt
Filed under: uncultured bacterium
Lineage: Bacteria
Description: partial 16S ribosomal RNA
Rfam family: Bacterial small subunit ribosomal RNA
Source: RNAcentral